GAUGAAGAACGUAGCGAAAUGCGAUAAGUAGUGUGAAUUGCAGAAUUCAGUGAAUCAUCGAAUCUUUGAACGCACAUUGCGCCCCAUGGUAUUCCGUGGGGCAUGCCUGUUCGAGCGUCAUUUACCCCCUCAAGCUCCGCUUGGUGUUGGGCGUCUGUCCCGCUUCGCGCGCGGACUCGCCCCAAAGGUAUUGGCAGCGGUCGUGCCAGCUUCUCGCGCAGCACAUUGCGCUUCUCGAGGCACCGGUGGGCCCGCGUCCAUCAAGCUCACCCCCCCAGUUUGACCUCGGAUCAGGUAGGGAUACCCGCUGAACUUAAGCAUAUCAUAAGCGGAGGA
RNAcentral lists this unclassified non-coding RNA (336 nucleotides) under soil metagenome. Its description in RNAcentral is "partial contains 5.8S ribosomal RNA, internal transcribed spacer 2, and large subunit ribosomal RNA". The stretch from base 1 to 120 matches the Rfam family "5.8S ribosomal RNA", at positions 35 to 154 of the family's 154-position model. The record is from RNAcentral.